AGAGUUUGAUCCUGGCUCAGAACGAACGUUGGCGGCAUGGAUUACGCAUGCAAGUCGAACGAAUGCCAUUUGGGAAACUGGAUGGCGGAAGUGGCGAAAGGGGCAGUAAUACAUGGACAACCUACCCUGGGGAUGGGCAUAGCCGUUCUAACGAGCGGGUAAUUCCCAGAGAUUCGGCGACGGUGGCAUCAUCGUUCCGGGAAAUGAGUUUCGCCUCGGGAGGGGUUCAUGAGCUAUCAGCUAGUUGGCGGGGUAACGGCCCACCAAGGCGUAGACGGCUAGCGGGUGUGAGAGCACGACCCGCGCCACUGGCACUGAGACACUGGCCAGACACCUACGGGUGGCUGCAGUCGAGGAUCUUCGUCAAUGGGCGCAAGCCUGAACGAGCGAUGCCGCGUGAGCGAUGAAGGCCUUCGGGUUGUAAAGCUCAAAAGAGGUGAGAAAGGGUAACUUGAUCAAGCCUCAGUAAGCUCGGGCUAAGUUCGUGCCAGCAGCCGCGGUAAGACGAACCGAGCGAACGUUGUUCGGAAUCACUGGGCUUAAAGGGCGCGUAGGCGGAUUUGCAAGUCCGGGGUGAAAUCCCACAGCUCAACUGUGGAACUGCCUCGGAUACUGUGAGUCUCGAGGGUGGUAGGGGUAUG
This 641-nucleotide ribosomal RNA is filed under the name uncultured Planctomycetota bacterium. Its description in RNAcentral is "bacterial SSU rRNA". It matches the Rfam family "Bacterial small subunit ribosomal RNA", at positions 8 to 661 of the family's 1533-position model. The record is from RNAcentral. Lineage: Bacteria; Pseudomonadati; Planctomycetota.